UGGUUCUGGCAUCGAUGAAGAACGCAGCGAAAUGCGAUAAGUAAUGUGAAUUGCAGAAUUCAGCGAAUCAUCGAAUCUUUGAACGCACAUUGCGCCUGCUAGUAUUCUGGCAGGCAUGCCUGUCCGAGCGUCAUUUCAAUCUUCAAGCCCUACUGUGGUUUGGUGUUGGAGUGCCUGUAGCAUUAGUGCUUAGGGGCUCUGAAAGUCGGUGGCGGGCCUGUUGGGUCUCCCAGUGUAGUAUAUUUUCUUGCUCUUGGAACCUAACUGGUAGGCUUAAUUGCUUCCUAGCCAUUAAACCCUUACUGGAAUCAAUUUAACCUCGGAUCAGGUAGGAUUACCCGCUGA
RNAcentral lists this unclassified non-coding RNA (345 nucleotides) under uncultured fungus. RNAcentral describes it as "partial contains 5.8S ribosomal RNA and internal transcribed spacer 2". The stretch from base 1 to 133 matches the Rfam family "5.8S ribosomal RNA", at positions 22 to 154 of the family's 154-position model. The record is from RNAcentral. Lineage: Eukaryota; Fungi.